Molecule: long non-coding RNA, 531 nt
Filed under: Homo sapiens (human)
Lineage: Eukaryota; Metazoa; Chordata; Mammalia; Primates; Hominidae
Description: HSALNT0273576
Source: RNAcentral
AUUUGUACACAAAAGCUGGGGAGAGCUUUUCCACUGCCUUCCACAUUCAUUCUCUGUCCAUCUCAGAGAAGCUGAAAAACAGAAUCAAGUCAGCAAGCAGUCUGCAAGCCUAAGGAAGAAAAAGAGCUGACCCAUCCGGCUCUGGAUGGAUAACUGGCAACACCCAAGAUGUCUAUGAUUUUGGCCUUCUGUUUGAGGCUUGUUUAUUUCUUUAAUCAGCAGCUACCAGGACUUAUUUCAUGCAGAGAAAUGACAUAAAGCUCUAGAGGAAGGAGCAUUUCACAUUGGAAGGAGUAGUGAGAAGGGCCUGAUCUGAUAAUAUCAGGAUGGGUGGGAAGGGUCCAUUCCUCAUCAUUCAUGUUCUCCCGGCACAGAGGACUGUGUGGAGGACUCAGGAUUUAGGACCAUACUCAACUGGGGUUUGAUCUCCACUUUGCCCUGCGGUGGCCCCUCUGGUAGCUAUGUGGAUCCUGGGCAGAUUGUCCAUGUUGCUGGGCCUCCGUUGCUUCACUGUAUGACGUCUGCCUCUCA